AGGAUAAUAGUUUUUAUUAACAUUCAAGUUGCAUUUGAAAGGAAUUGAAAUCUCAAUUUAUCUUA
RNAcentral lists this transfer RNA (65 nucleotides) under Tenomerga trabecula. RNAcentral's name for it is "tRNA-Ala". Lineage: Eukaryota; Metazoa; Arthropoda; Insecta; Coleoptera; Cupedidae. The record is from RNAcentral.